CCUACGAGAGGCAGCAGUGAGGAAUAUUGGUCAAUGGGCGUAAGCCUGAACCAGCCAAGUCGCGUGAGGGCUGACUGCCCUACGGGUUGUAAACUUCUUUUAUACAGGAAUAAAGUGAGGCACGUGUGCCUUUUUGUAUUUACUUUAUGAAUAAGGAUCGGAUAACUCCGUGCCAGCAGCCGCGGUAAUUAGGAGGAUCCGAGUUUUAUACGGAUUGUGUGGGUUUAAAGGGAUCGUAUAGGGGUUGUUAAGUCAGUUGUGAAAGUUUGCGGCUCAACCGGAGAAUUGCAAUUGAUACUGGCAGCCUUGAGUACAGUGAAGGCAGGCGGAAUUCGUGGUGUAGCGGUGAAAUGCUUAGAUAUCACGAAGAACCCCGAUUGCGAAGGCAGCUUACUAAACUGUAACUGACAUUGAUGCUCGAAAGUGUGGGUAUCAAACAGGAUUAGAUACCCCAGUAGUC
RNAcentral lists this ribosomal RNA (460 nucleotides) under uncultured bacterium. RNAcentral's name for it is "partial 16S ribosomal RNA". It matches the Rfam family "Bacterial small subunit ribosomal RNA", at positions 338 to 795 of the family's 1533-position model. The record is from RNAcentral.